GCAUUCCAAUGAUCGACAGAUCAAUAACGUCCGAUGGACCAAUGAAAUACCACCAGCACAGGAGAAUCUUCCGUCCAUCUCACCAGCAGCACCAGUGGCAUCUCUGGCAUCGGCCAUCUCCCACAACCAAUAUAAUAGCCUCGUCCAACAAGUACAGGCCCUGUCAGCUGCAGUGCAGAGGAUACAAUAAAAUACGGAGCCACCCCCCACUGCAGAAGAUGCACGGCCAGCA
Molecule: long non-coding RNA, 232 nt
Filed under: Elaeis guineensis (African oil palm)
Lineage: Eukaryota; Viridiplantae; Streptophyta; Magnoliopsida; Arecales; Arecaceae
Description: long non-coding RNA (EGUI_LNC019669)
Source: RNAcentral